UGUGGGUAAAUACACAAAGCUGGUUUCACUAG
RNAcentral lists this non-coding RNA (32 nucleotides) under Rattus norvegicus (Norway rat). Lineage: Eukaryota; Metazoa; Chordata; Mammalia; Rodentia; Muridae. The record is from RNAcentral.